AGUGAACGCUGGCGGUAGGCCUAACACAUGCAAGUCGAACGGCAGCACAGUAAGAGCUUGCUCUUACGGGUGGCGAGUGGCGGACGGGUGAGGAAUACAUCGGAAUCUACUUUUUCGUGGGGGAUAACGUAGGGAAACUUACGCUAAUACCGCAUACGACCUACGGGUGAAAGCAGGGGAUCUUCGGACCUUGCGCGAUUGAAUGAGCCGAUGUCGGAUUAGCUAGUUGGCGGGGUAAAGGCCCACCAAGGCGACGAUCCGUAGCUGGUCUGAGAGGAUGAUCGGCCACACUGGACCUGAGACACGGUCCAGCCUCCUACGGGAGGCAGCAGUGGGGAAUAUUGGCCAAUGGGCGCAAGCCUGAUCCAGCCAGACCGCGUGGGUGAAGAAGGCCUUCGGGUUGUAAAGCCCUUUUGUUGGGAAAGAAAAGCAGCAGGUUAAUACCCCGCUGUUCUGACGGGACCCAAAGAAUAAGCACCGGCAAACUUCGU
Molecule: ribosomal RNA, 491 nt
Filed under: uncultured bacterium
Lineage: Bacteria
Description: partial 16S ribosomal RNA
Rfam family: Bacterial small subunit ribosomal RNA
Source: RNAcentral